RNAcentral lists this ribosomal RNA (524 nucleotides) under Patu sp. SYMP-001-DR. RNAcentral's name for it is "partial 28S ribosomal RNA". Lineage: Eukaryota; Metazoa; Arthropoda; Arachnida; Araneae; Symphytognathidae. The record is from RNAcentral.
UUUGAAGAGAGAGUUCAACAGUACGUGAAACCGUUCAGAGGGAAAGGGGUGGGCCCUCGAAGCCCUGUGGCGGAGAGAUUCAGCGUCGGGAGGUUGCGUGCGCUUCCGACUGCGGGCGAUCGCAAGGUCGCCUCGUAGUCGCGUCGCUAAAUCGUUUUCGUCCGGUGCGCAUUUCUUUCCGUCCGAAGGACGUCGCAACCGAUCGGGGUACGGCCAAGAGAGGCCGGGCGGCAGUACGCCGGUGAUCCUACCGCUGGGUCGCCGGUAUGUGGUCGCUCGUACGGUUCGGAAGUCGGACCCCGAUCGAGGUACUGGCUCGGAGAAGAGAGGAUAGACUUCGGUUUUUUUUUUCUCUUCUUCCGGGCGGUGAAUCGCCUCCUCCAAGCGAAGCGAACUGGCCGGGUCUCGGUUUCCCCGGGCUCUUGCGGAAACACGACGGCAACGUCGUGUUCCGCUCAGACCGGACUGGUUACCGCUCUCGGAUUUCGUUCGCAGGAGCGUCGGUGGUUUGCGGCGAGUAGGUC